CAUAGGUAACUAGUAACUAACCUUAGGAAAGAUCUAACCAAUAGGUUUCCGUAGGAAACCUUAGUGUGUUACCACCUUAGAGUCACCCUCAAGUAACCCAUAGUGAAACCAUAGGUUCCAUAACCCAUAAGCAACCUUAAGGACAACCUGUAGAAUGUUCACCCAGUUCAUCCCAUAAUAGUGUCCACCUUGUGUCCAGCCAGUCCAACCUAAGUGUUGUCCAACCAAGUAUCCAACCCAUAGGUAUUGUCCAUAGUGUUUGAGUCUAGAGACCAACCUUAGGUACCACCAGUCCAACUGAUUCUAUUAGUCCAACCUUAGGUCCAACCUUUAGGAAACCCAUUGUCCCGUGUCCACCCUGUAGAGUGUCCACC
Molecule: long non-coding RNA, 374 nt
Filed under: Elaeis guineensis (African oil palm)
Lineage: Eukaryota; Viridiplantae; Streptophyta; Magnoliopsida; Arecales; Arecaceae
Description: long non-coding RNA (EGUI_LNC062986)
Source: RNAcentral